GACGAACGCUGGCGGCAUGCCUAAUACAUGCAAGUCGAACGAACCAUCCUGAAGAUUGAAGCUUGCUUCAUGAUUCAGACCUUGGUGAGUGGCGGACGGGUGAGUAACACGUGGGUAACCUGCCCAAAAGUGGGGGAUAACAUCUGGAAACAGGUGCUAAUACCGCAUAACAACUACUUUCUCAUGAUCGUAGCUUGAAAGAUGGCUCUGCUAUCGCUUUUGGAUGGACCCGCGGCGUAUUAGCUAGUUGGUGAGGUAAUAGCUCACCAAGGCAAUGAUACGUAGCCGACCUGAGAGGGUAAUCGGCCACAUUGGGACUGAGACACGGCCCAAACUCCUACGGGAGGCAGCAGUAGGGAAUCUUCCACAAUGGGCGAAAGCCUGAUGGAGCAAUGCCGCGUGAGUGAAGAAGGUUUUCGGAUCGUAAAACUCUGUUGUUGAAGAAGAACAUGCGUGAGAGUAACUGUUCACGUACUGACGGUAUUCAACCAGAAAGCCACGGCUAACUACGUGCCAGCAGCCGCGGUAAUACGUAGGUGGCAAGCGUUGUCCGGAUUUAUUGGGCGUAAAGAGAAUGUAGGCGGUUUAUUAAGUUUGAAGUGAAAGCCCUCGGCUCAACCGAGGAAGUGCUUCGAAAACUGGUAAACUUGAGUGCAGAAGAGGAAAGUGGAACUCCAUGUGUAGCGGUGGAAUGCGUAGAUAUAUGGAAGAACACCAGUGGCGAAGGCGGCUUUCUGGUCUGUAACUGACGCUGAGAUUCGAAAGCAUGGGUAGCAAACAGGAUUAGAUACCCUGGUAGUCCAUGCCGUAAACGAUGAGUGCUAAGUGUUGGAGGGUUUCCGCCCUUCAGUGCUGCAGCUAACGCAUUAAGCACUCCGCCUGGGGAGUACGAUCGCAAGAUUGAAACUCAAAGGAAUUGACGGGGGCCCGCACAAGCGGUGGAACAUGUGGUUUAAUUCGAAGCAACGCGAAGAACCUUACCAGGUCUUGACAUACCAUGAAAAGCUAAGAGAUUAGUCUUUCCCUUCGGGGACAUGGAUACAGGUGGUGCAUGGUUGUCGUCAGCUCGUGUCGUGAGAUGUUGGGUUAAGUCCCGCAACGAGCGCAACCCUUAUUAUCAGUUGCCAGCAUUCAGUUGGGCACUCUGGUGAGACUGCCGGUGACAAACCGGAGGAAGGUGGGGACGACGUCAAAUCAUCAUGCCCCUUAUGACCUGGGCUACACACGUGCUACAAUGGUCGGUACAACGUGCUGCGAACUCGCGAGGGUAAGCAAAUCACUUAAAACCGAUCUCAGUUCGGAUUGUAGGCUGCAACUCGCCUACAUGAAGCUGGAAUCGCUAGUAAUCGCGGAUCAGCAUGCCGCGGUGAAUACGUUCCCGGGCCUUGUACACACCGCCCGUCACACCAUGAGAGUUUGUAACACCCAAAGUCGGUGGGGUAACCCUUCGGGGAACUAGCCGCCUAAGGUGGGACAAAUGAUUAGGGUG
This 1489-nucleotide ribosomal RNA is filed under the name Companilactobacillus crustorum. RNAcentral's name for it is "bacterial SSU rRNA". It matches the Rfam family "Bacterial small subunit ribosomal RNA". The record is from RNAcentral. Lineage: Bacteria; Bacillati; Bacillota; Bacilli; Lactobacillales; Lactobacillaceae.